AUUGAACGCUGGCGGCACGCCUAACACAUGCAAGUCGAGCGGCAGCGAGACUAGUAGCAAUACUAGUUGUCGGCGAGCGGCGGACGGGUGAGGAACACGUAGGAACUUGCCCUUUAGAGGGGGAUAACCAAGGGAAACUUUGGCUAAUACCGCGUAAACUCGAAAGAGGAAAGCUGCCCGCAAGGGGGGCGCUAAAGGAGAGGCCUGCGUCUGAUUAGCUAGUUGGUGAGGUAAUGGCUUACCAAGGCGAUGAUCGGUAACUGGUCGGAGAGGACGACCAGUCACACUGGGACUGAGACACGGCCCAGACUCCUACGGGAGGCAGCAGUGGGGAAUAUUGGACAAUGGGGGCAACCCUGAUCCAGCGAUGCCGCGUGGGUGAAGAAGGCCUUCGGGUUGUAAAGCCCUUUAGGUUGGGAAGAAGUGAAUUGUAGGAUAAUGACAGUUCAUUGACGGUACCGACAGAAUAAGCACCGGCAAACUCUGUGCCAGCCGCCGCCGUAA
This 504-nucleotide ribosomal RNA is filed under the name uncultured bacterium. RNAcentral's name for it is "partial 16S ribosomal RNA". It matches the Rfam family "Bacterial small subunit ribosomal RNA", at positions 29 to 523 of the family's 1533-position model. The record is from RNAcentral.